GCAUCCUCUGCCCGGUCCCCUCUGAUCUCGGAAGCUAAGCAGGGUCGGGCCUGGUUAGUACUUGGAUAGGAGACCACCUAGGAGGACCAGGU
Molecule: ribosomal RNA, 92 nt
Filed under: Pteropus alecto (black flying fox)
Lineage: Eukaryota; Metazoa; Chordata; Mammalia; Chiroptera; Pteropodidae
Source: RNAcentral